GACGAACGCUGGCGGCGCGCUUAACACAUGCAAGUCGAACGGAAAGGCCCUGCUUUUGUGGGGUGCUCGAGUGGCGAACGGGUGAGUAACACGUGAGUAACCUGCCCUUGACUUUGGGAUAACUUCAGGAAACUGGGGCUAAUACCGGAUAGGAGCUCCUGCUGCAUGGUGGGGGUUGGAAAGUUUCGGCGGUUGGGGAUGGACUCGCGGCUUAUCAGCUUGUUGGUGGGGUAGUGGCUUACCAAGGCUUUGACGGGUAGCCGGCCUGAGAGGGUGACCGGCCACAUUGGGACUGAGAUACGGCCCAGACUCCUACGGGAGGCAGCAGUGGGGAAUAUUGCACAAUGGGCGGAAGCCUGAUGCAGCAACGCCGCGUGCGGGAUGACGGCCUUCGGGUUGUAAACCGCUUUCGCCUGUGACGAAGCGUGAGUGACGGUAAUGGGGAAAGAAGCACCGGCUAACUACGU
Molecule: ribosomal RNA, 467 nt
Filed under: uncultured bacterium
Lineage: Bacteria
Description: partial 16S ribosomal RNA
Rfam family: Bacterial small subunit ribosomal RNA
Source: RNAcentral